GUAGGUGGCGAGCGUUAUCCGGAAUCAUUGGGCGUAAAGAGGGAGCAGGCGGCAGUGCAGGUCUGCGGUGAAAGCCCGAAGCUAAACUUCGGUAAGCCGUGGAAACCGCACAGCUAGAGAGCAUCAGAGGAUCGCGGAAUUCCAUGUGUAGCGGUGAAAUGCGUAGAUAUACGGAGGAACACCAGUGGCGAAGGCGGCGGUCUGGGGUGCAGCUGACGCUCAGUCCCGAGAGUGUGGGGAGCAAAUAGGAUUAGAUACCCUAGUAGUCCACGCCGUAAACGAUGAGUGCUAAGUGUUGGGGGUCAGACCUCAGUGCUGCAGUUAACGCAAUAAGCACUCCGCCUGAGUAGUACGUUCGCAAGAAUG
Molecule: ribosomal RNA, 366 nt
Filed under: uncultured bacterium
Lineage: Bacteria
Description: bacterial SSU rRNA
Rfam family: Bacterial small subunit ribosomal RNA
Source: RNAcentral